AUACUUACCUGGACGGGGUCGACGGCUGAUCAAGAAAAGUCGUGGCCUAGGCUAGUGAUCCACAUUGCACUUGGUGGAUGCGCUGGCCUACCAUCUCCCUAAGUGGGAAAGUGGACGUCGUAAUUUAUGGUAGAGGGGGUACGCGUUCGCGCGGCCCCUGC
This 161-nucleotide small nuclear RNA is filed under the name Triticum dicoccoides. Its description in RNAcentral is "snRNA U1". It matches the Rfam family "U1 spliceosomal RNA". From Rfam's summary of the family: U1 is a small nuclear RNA (snRNA) component of the spliceosome (involved in pre-mRNA splicing). Its 5' end forms complementary base pairs with the 5' splice junction, thus defining the 5' donor site of an intron. Lineage: Eukaryota; Viridiplantae; Streptophyta; Magnoliopsida; Poales; Poaceae. The record is from RNAcentral.